Molecule: ribosomal RNA, 464 nt
Filed under: Vreelandella stevensii
Lineage: Bacteria; Pseudomonadati; Pseudomonadota; Gammaproteobacteria; Oceanospirillales; Halomonadaceae
Description: partial 16S ribosomal RNA
Rfam family: Bacterial small subunit ribosomal RNA
Source: RNAcentral
CCUACGGGUGGCAGCAGUGGGGAAUAUUGGACAAUGGGCGAAAGCCUGAUCCAGCCAUGCCGCGUGUGUGAAGAAGGCCUUCGGGUUGUAAAGCACUUUCAGUGGGGAAGAAAGCCUUGGGGCUAAUACCCUCGAGGAAGGACAUCACCCACAGAAGAAGCACCGGCUAACUCCGUGCCAGCAGCCGCGGUAAUACGGAGGGUGCGAGCGUUAAUCGGAAUUACUGGGCGUAAAGCGCGCGUAGGUGGUCUGAUAAGCCGGUUGUGAAAGCCCCGGGCUCAACCUGGGAACGGCAUCCGGAACUGUCAGGCUAGAGUGCAGGAGAGGAAGGUAGAAUUCCCGGUGUAGCGGUGAAAUGCGUAGAGAUCGGGAGGAAUACCAGUGGCGAAGGCGGCCUUCUGGACUGACACUGACGCUGAGGUGCGAAAGCGGGGGUAGCAAACAGGAUUAGAUACCCUGGUAGU